UGGGGAAUAUUGCACAAUGGGCGCAAGCCUGAUGCAGCCAUACCGCGUGUGUGAAGAAGGCCUUCGGGUUGUAAAGCACUUUCAGAUGUGAGGAAAGGAGUGUAGUUAAUACCUGCAUUCUGUGACGUUAGCAUCAGAAGAAGCACCGGCUAACUCCGUGCCAGCAGCCGCGGUAAUACGGAGGGUGCAAGCGUUAAUCGGAAUUACUGGGCGUAAAGCGCGCGUAGGUGGAUAGGUCAGUCAGAUGUGAAAGCCCAGGGCUCAACCUUGGAACUGCAUCUGAUACUGCUUAUCUAGAGUACGGUAGAGGGUAGUGGAAUUUCCUGUGUAGCGGUGAAAUGCGUAGAUAU
Molecule: ribosomal RNA, 350 nt
Filed under: uncultured bacterium
Lineage: Bacteria
Description: bacterial SSU rRNA
Rfam family: Bacterial small subunit ribosomal RNA
Source: RNAcentral